GUAAUGUCUGGGAAACUGCCUGAUGGAGGGGGAUAACUACUGGAAACGGUGGCUAAUACCGCAUAACGUCGCAAGACCAAAGAGGGGGACCUUCGGGCCUCUUGCCAUCAGAUGUGCCCAGAUGGGAUUAGCUUGUUGGUGAGGUAACGGCUCACCAAGGCGACGAUCCCUAGCUGGUCUGAGAGGAUGACCAGCCACACUGGAACUGAGACACGGUCCAGACUCCUACGGGAGGCAGCAGUGGGGAAUAUUGCACAAUGGGCGCAAGCCUGAUGCAGCCAUGCCGCGUGUAUGAAGAAGGCCUUCGGGUUGUAAAGUACUUUCAGCGGGGAGGAAGGUGUUGUGGUUAAUAACCGCAGCAAUUGACGUUACCCGCAGAAGAAGCACCGGCUAACUCCGUGCCAGCAGCCGCGGUAAUACGGAGGGUGCAAGCGUUAAUCGGAAUUACUGGGCGUAAAGCGCACGCAGGCGGUCUGUCAAGUCGGAUGUGAAAUCCCCGGGCUCAACCUGGGAACUGCAUUCGAAACUGGCAGGCUUGAGUCUUGUAGAGGGGGGUAGAAUUCCAGGUGUAGCGGUGAAAUGCGUAGAGAUCUGGAGGAAUACCGGUGGCGAAGGCGGCCCCCUGGACAAAGACUGACGCUCAGGUGCGAAAGCGUGGGGAGCAAACAGGAUUAGAUACCCUGGUAGUCCACGCCGUAAACGAUGUCUACUUGGAGGUUGUGCCCUUGAGGCGUGGCUUCCGGAGCUAACGCGUUAAGUAGACCGCCUGGGGAGUACGGCCGCAAGGUUAAAACUCAAAUGAAUUGACGGGGGCCCGCACAAGCGGUGGAGCAUGUGGUUUAAUUCGAUGCAACGCGAAGAACCUUACCUGGUCUUGACAUCCACAGAACUUUCCAGAGAUGGAUUGGUGCCUUCGGGAACUGUGAGACAGGUGCUGCAUGGCUGUCGUCAGCUCGUGUUGUGAAAUGUUGGGUUAAGUCCCGCAACGAGCGCAACCCUUAUCCUUUGUUGCCAGCGGUCCGGCCGGGAACUCAAAGGAGACUGCCAGUGAUAAACUGGAGGAAGGUGGGGAUGACGUCAAGUCAUCAUGGCCCUUACGACCAGGGCUACACACGUGCUACAAUGGCGCAUACAAAGAGAAGCGACCUCGCGAGAGCAAGCGGACCUCAUAAAGUGCGUCGUAGUCCGGAUUGGAGUCUGCAACUCGACUCCAUGAAGUCGGAAUCGCUAGUAAUCGUGGAUCAGAAUGCCACGGUGAAUACGUUCCCGGGCCUUGUACACACCGCCCGUCACACCAUGGGAGUGGGUUGCAAAAGAAGUAGGUAGCUUAACCUUCGGGAGGGCGCUUACCACUUUGUGAUUCAUGACUGGGGUGAAGUCGUAACAAGGUAACCGUAGGGGAACCUGCGGUUGGAUCACCUCCUUACCUGAAAGAAGC
This 1438-nucleotide ribosomal RNA is filed under the name Salmonella enterica subsp. enterica serovar Adelaide. Its description in RNAcentral is "bacterial SSU rRNA". It matches the Rfam family "Bacterial small subunit ribosomal RNA". Lineage: Bacteria; Pseudomonadati; Pseudomonadota; Gammaproteobacteria; Enterobacterales; Enterobacteriaceae. The record is from RNAcentral.